CCUUUAUUUCUGUUCAAGUUCAAUGCAACAAUAGUAUGCAUGUUGAUGUUUUUGCGAGUGGUACUGUAAAGAAAAAGACUUAUUUUCUUUCGGUAAAAAGCUGAGCAUCAGUUAUCAAGUUAUUAUUGGCAUUGUUUAGAAAAUUAAUGCGGACGCCACCUUUUGAAUCGGUCCACCCCACGAUACGCUCUGAAAAUGAGAAUUACUUGAAAUUUAUAUGUGAAACAGAAACAAGCUUACUUAUUUUUAUAAACAUGUACAUACAUUUGCUUGUCAAGUAACAGGCGGUCAAUUAACAUCCUGGCGCCAUGUCAAUGACGUACAGAUCAUCGGCGUCCAACGUGCUUGCAGGAUGAGUCGCUUGAUCCAGAAGUAAGGUUGCUGUAACGCUGACUAUGAUUGAUAUUGCAAAACGGGUAGAAUGUCCACUCCUGAAAAAAACGCUGAAACCGUCAGUGCAGUAUAUCCAGUCUUCUUUGAAACAAUUUAGCUAUUUUCAUCAAGAAGAUUAUAUCUGUGCAUCCUACACGAAGUCAAAUUCCAGAUUGGAUCCACCGCAAACGACUUACAAACAAAUCCACAGAAGACCUUCGCACUUGGAACGGAGAUUGGCGAAAGCACUGACCGGGCGAAGAGUGCCCAGUGGGAUAGAACGAUUCACGAGUCUAUAGAAAAUAGAAGAGCAAUACGCCCAGGGGGAUAGACAAAAUGAGAAGCAAUGGCCGCGUCGAAUCUAUAAUUAGAUAUGGGUCCACAUAACAGCUGCAGGAAUCAAACUCGGGUCAGCCCUCAUGGCCUUCUGCAGUGUGGUGACUGGGAUCGUGAUCGGCUUUGUGUACAGCUGGAAAAUAACGCUGCUUAUAAUAGCCUUCCUGCCCUUUGUCAUGAUUGGGGGAGCGCUGGAAAUGAAGAUGACGCAGGGGGCUGCGGGCAAGAACACAGCGGCCAUUGAGUCAGCAGGAAAGGACUGCAGUGCAAACUGGCUCAUGGGAAAACUGGGAUUAAUGCAUGUCUUUAAAAUGUUUCCCCAGAUUAGCCUGUGCACACUGCACAGACUAAUCAAGGCAGACUUUUUCCCCGAAGUUGAUUUUCAUUUGAAAGAGAAUUCUUUUAAAAAAUGAAUUCCAUAAAAGCGGAAAGUUUCAUCCCUUAUUAGCCUGUGUAUUCUGCACAGGCUAAACUGGGACACCACUUUAAGCACAUGCCGUAUAGCCCAGUUUUCACAGAAUUAAUAUUACUCAGUAUCUGCAGUGUAAAGUAUGGGCGCCUAAUGCUUAAGCAAAGUAGAGGUAUUGUUGUCUCUGCAAUAUUAUGGCAAGAAACAGAUCAAUUUAUUUUAUGCUUUCCGGUGGUUUAUAGAGAAAUAUUAGUGAAUAUAAAACUGAUAUUUCACUGUUUUAAACAGCGAAAAAUAACAGUGAAAAAUAGCGAUAUUUUUCACUGUUUUACUGUGAAAUGACGUCAUUUUUUUCGACUAAAUGACGUCAUAAAUCCAGCGAAAUUAUCCAGUUAAACUCUUUAACAUUGUAAAUAAACGGUGGAAUUUUUUUUCUGCUGGAUUCGAUGAAAUAUCGAUUUUAAUUCACUCGUGAUCAUAAAAAAUACAUAUUAUCACUCGUGGCUGCGCCACUCGUGAAAAUAUUAUUUUAUAUUAUAACUCGUGAAAUAAACUUGACAUUCCAUCGAAUCCAACAAAUAUCCUCUAUAUAUCUACCGGGUAAUGAAAUAUGCCCAAACCAUUCUGCAAAUAUUGCAUAAGAUAUUGUCACCAAGGCUAUUUUGGAAAAUUUUACAUUAUUGAAGAGUAUUUUAAACUUUUUGAUUCAAUGGUAAAGCCAAUCCUCAUAUUUAUAGGGGCGGAAAUUUGGGGUUAUACCUUUUAUGAAAAUAUAGAACAAAUCCAGGCUCAAUUUUGCAAAGAUUUUAUUGAUCUAAAUAGGUCAGCCAACAAUUGUAUCCUUAUGUCUCUAGGGGAGUUUGGUAGAUUAGUAUUAUGUGUGCUUAAGUGUGUUAAACACUGUUGUAAACUUAUUGACAUAUCAUUGCAUAGAUACACCAAAAACUGUUACAAUAUGUUGAAAUGCCAGGAUGAAAUCGGAAAGACAAAUUGGCCUAAGUAUGUUAAUUUGUUAUUUAAUUAGGUCUUUGUUAUAUCUUUGUCUAUCAGAAUGUUGGUAAUGUUGAUGUAGUUUGACAACUGUUAAAGAUCGCCUUAUUUGUUGUUACACGCAAAAAUGGUAAGGAGUUUAUUCGACACGUCUAGAUGUGAAACAUAUAGAAUGUUUAAGUCAUUGCUUGAACCAGAAAAAUAUCUAAUUUUUUUCUAUAGAAAAUAUAAAUAUAUAGUAAAGCAUUUACAAAGUCCAGAUGUUUCAACAACAAGUUUGUUUUUUGAAACCGGAGAACAUCUUGGUAAAGAACAUGAUCUUAGAUGUUGUACACAUAGUCUAAAUGUAGAAAACGCUUGUGUCAUUGAAAACGAAUGUCAUGUAUUUUUUCAUCGUUCUAAAUUUCACGAAGAACAUAAAAUGCUUUUUUCUUUCUUGGUAUAGUGGAAAAAGAGAAGAAAUUGAUUUUAUUAAUCCGAUAAAAAGAAAAAAAAUGAUCUGAAAUUGAAGAAAAUUGCAUUAUUCUUUAUGUAUUUCUUCAUGUGAAAAGUAUAACAUAUAUAACUAUUCACAACUCAUGCAUGUAUAAUGUGACAUGUCUGUAUAUUGUAUUUUGAACCGGUGCCUGUAAUUACAAAAAAAGUGUCUUGCUUGAUAUAUAUUAAUUGAUUAUUCGAUAUUUGUGAUCAUCACACAAUAAUGCAAUCCUUUUUCCAGAAUAUGAGCAUUGCUGGCUGUACAAAUCUAAAUAUUUAUAUUAUAUACACUGAACAGAUCUUUACUAUGUUGUCAAAUUGAGUGCCUACAUUAAUUGUACAAUCACCAUAGCAAUUUUAUUUGCUGGAAGGUUUAAAGGGACCGUCAACCAGAUUGACGAAAAAAGAAAAAUUCUAAAAUACCGUGUUUUUUAAAUUAUUAGUUUAUAUUGAUUAAAAUAUCACGACUGGUAUAUUACAUUACUUGAAAAAGUUGUCAAGUUUUCAUAUUUCAGUAUAUUGGGUAAUAAAAUUUCGCGAUGUGAAAUCGAAAAUACAUCGCGAAAAUAGGUGACAUAACGAUAUAUACACUAUAGAUAACGCAAGUAGAUUGAUCAUUUUAUAUAUAAAAUAUAUACAAUUCACUACGCAUGCACAAUUCGCAUUCCUGGGUUCACCGCGUGACGAUGAUGAUCAAUCUACUUGCGUUAUUUAUAGUUAAAUGGUAGUUUCCUGAUAGACAUACCCAGUAAACUUUUAUUACCAAAUAUACUGAAAAUAUGAAUGUACUAUAAUAUACCAGUCAUGAUAUUUUAAUAAAUAUAAACUAAUAA
Long non-coding RNA from Dreissena polymorpha, 3417 nucleotides. RefSeq lists it as uncharacterized. The record is from RefSeq and is a predicted model, not a curated record. NCBI's taxonomy places the organism in Eukaryota, Metazoa, Mollusca, Bivalvia, Myida, Dreissenidae. The transcript is spliced from 4 exons.